CAGCCGCCGCGGUAAUACGAAGGUCCCAAGCGUUGUUCGGAAUCACUGGGCGUAAAGGGAGCGUAGGCGGCGUGGUAAGUCAGAUGUGAAAUCCCGGGGCUCAACCCCGGAACUGCAUCCGAUACUGCCAUGCUUGAGGGUUGGAGAGGUAGCUGGAAUUCUUGGUGUAGCAGUGAAAUGCGUGGAUAUCAAGAGGAACACUCGUGGCGAAGGCGAGCUACUGGACAACAUCUGACGCUGAGGCUCGAAGGCCAGGGUAGCGAAAGGGAUUAGAUACCCCAGUAGUCCCUGUCUCUUAUAC
Molecule: ribosomal RNA, 301 nt
Filed under: uncultured bacterium
Lineage: Bacteria
Description: partial 16S ribosomal RNA
Rfam family: Bacterial small subunit ribosomal RNA
Source: RNAcentral